This is a small nuclear RNA of Otolemur garnettii (small-eared galago), 107 nucleotides long. The record is from Ensembl. Lineage: Eukaryota; Metazoa; Chordata; Mammalia; Primates; Galagidae.
GUGCUCACUUGGGCAGCACAUAUACUAAAAUUAGAAUGACACAGGGAAGAUUAGUAUGGCCUCUGCACAAGGAUGAGACACAAGUUUGUGAAGCAGUCCAUAUUAAA